This 302-nucleotide long non-coding RNA is filed under the name Olea europaea subsp. europaea. Lineage: Eukaryota; Viridiplantae; Streptophyta; Magnoliopsida; Lamiales; Oleaceae. The record is from RNAcentral.
CCAAUUGAUAGCUAAUACUUUGUGAGGAGUAAGGAAGGGAAGAUCUUGGCUACUAUUACGACUAUUAUUCAUAUCAACAAUGACUUUUGCAGGUAUGAAUUCGUUUUAUUAAUUUAAUUUUGGUGAUUCUUGAUUUUUAGCAUGAUUAAAUUAAAAUUCAACAAUUGGUAUCAGAGCCACUAUGCUAAGAUCAGCAUCCAUCAUUAAAAAAAUAUUCUUCCUCUGACUAAAUAAUUCUAAGGUUUCUGCUACCCAUCAAUUCAGGUAUUUGGAAUUGUUAUGUAUUUAAGUUUUGAAAUAAA